This 221-nucleotide long non-coding RNA is filed under the name Homo sapiens (human). RNAcentral describes it as "HSALNT0155652". Lineage: Eukaryota; Metazoa; Chordata; Mammalia; Primates; Hominidae. The record is from RNAcentral.
CCCCUGGCAGACCCCAGCAGCUCCUGUGAGCCCUGCACCCAGGCUCUGCAUCCCCAGAGGCUCAGCAGGCAGAUCCCCAGAGCAGGGUGGCCCCCAGGAGCUCACAGGCCCCAGCACACUCUAGACAGACCCCAGAAGUCAGCCCUUCUGUGUGGGGAAGGAGGUGUUCCCUCUACCUUGUCCCGGAAUUCCCAGUGACAGCAGAAACAGGGCAGCCAGGC